UAAUUCACUAUAUUGUUCGCCAGAGUACUACAAGCGCUAGCUUGAAACCCAAAGGACUUGGCGGUGUCCCAAACCCACCUAGAGGAGCCUGUUCUGUAACCGAUAAUCCCCGUUAAACCUCACCACUUCUGGCCAUCCCCGUCUAUAUACCGCCGUCGUCAGCUCACCCUGUGAAGGUAAAAAAGUAAGCAAAAAGAAUUAACUUCUACACGUCAGGUCGAGGUGUAGCAAAUGAAGUGGAUAGAAAUGGGCUACAUUUUCUAUAAAGAAGAUACGAAUGGUAAACUGAAAAAUUACCUAAAGGUGGAUUUAGCAGUAAGAAAAGAUUAGAGAGCUUCUCUGAAACUGGCUCUGGGACGCGCACACACCGCCCGUCACUCUCCUCAAAAAAAUCUACUUAUUUAUAAUUAAAAGAAAAUUAUCAAGAGGAGGCAAGUCGUAACAUGGUAAGUGUACUGGAAAGUGCACUUGGAAUC
This 476-nucleotide ribosomal RNA is filed under the name Alopias vulpinus (thresher shark). Its description in RNAcentral is "partial 12S ribosomal RNA". It matches the Rfam family "Bacterial small subunit ribosomal RNA", at positions 853 to 1522 of the family's 1533-position model. The record is from RNAcentral. Lineage: Eukaryota; Metazoa; Chordata; Chondrichthyes; Lamniformes; Alopiidae.